CAAUUGCUUUGCAACACUUCCGGUUGUCAACUCUCCUCGCGUGCAAUCUCAAUGCAUUAACCUGUUUUUAUCGCAUGCACUCUUAUUGCGUAGUUUAAAACAGGAUUGGGGUCUCACAAGAGCUUACAUCAACAUAACAACCAACAUCAAUGUUAGUGGCUUGGUGGCUCGACUUGAUAGUUCGACUUGGCAACAUAGUUCAGUCAGUUCAUGUAGUUGGCUUUGGUUCGUCGUUCUGAAUUUAGUUGCGGUUCACCUGACCUAGUUAAGUCUGUUUUAACGGAACAAUGUCCUUUGACCCCUGCUCAUACUGCAUCUCAAGUUGUUAUGAAUGCUUAUGGCCGCUAGACAAAGGGCAGUGACAAAGUUGUUAUGGAUGCUUUCCCUUUCACGUUGCUCCAAGCCCCCUCUUCGCCAUGGAACGCCGUUGAAACCCCAACGUCGUAAAAACCCAACGCCUUCCAAACGUUGUCGAAAUCGCAACUCUUCGGAAUGCCCUCGGAACCACAACGCCGCUCACUGAUUGUGACCACAUCCUCGAAACUGACCACGUCGAAACCCAACACCGCUCACUCACUUUGACGUCGGUAAGCAUCUCCAUUGUUCCCAAACACCGCUCUCUACUCCAGAUCCGCCCUCAAGCUUGUGAGAGGAAUGCCCACAAAGUUGGACUUGUCUACCACCUACACCACAGCGAACUUCAGCUUGGAAUACUGCGGCCAGAGACUCUGGAAGUGCUCCCUUUUGCUCAACUUCAAAGAUAAGGUAAUACAAAAGGCCUAUUGAUACACGUUUACUUGCACUCAUCUUUACAAAUUCCCAAUUUGUACCCUAAUAUUUCAUUAUACAACAUUAUUAAUCAUUUAAAUUAUUCGAUUUUAAAAUGUUUUUAAUUUAGUAGUUCGAAAAUAAAAUAAUUAUAAAACAUUCGUA
Cucumis melo (muskmelon) is the source of this 933-nucleotide long non-coding RNA. RefSeq lists it as uncharacterized. The record is from RefSeq and is a predicted model, not a curated record. Lineage: Eukaryota; Viridiplantae; Streptophyta; Magnoliopsida; Cucurbitales; Cucurbitaceae. The transcript is spliced from 2 exons.